UGAGCAAUCUGCCCUUCUCUUCGGAAUAAGCGUUGGAAACGACGUCUAAUGCCGAAUACGACCUCCUUUCGCAUGAUCGGAGGUGGAAAGCUCCGGCGGAGAAGGAUGAGCUCGCGGCCUAUCAGCUAGUUGGUGUGGGUAAUGGCCCACCAAGGCGAUGACGGGUAGCCGGCCUGAGAGGGUGACCGGCCACACGUGGGACUGAGACACGGCCCAGACUCCUACGGGAGCAG
Molecule: ribosomal RNA, 233 nt
Filed under: uncultured bacterium
Lineage: Bacteria
Description: partial 16S ribosomal RNA
Rfam family: Bacterial small subunit ribosomal RNA
Source: RNAcentral